Molecule: long non-coding RNA, 530 nt
Organism: Monodelphis domestica (gray short-tailed opossum)
Lineage: Eukaryota; Metazoa; Chordata; Mammalia; Didelphimorphia; Didelphidae
Source: RefSeq, a predicted model, not a curated record
UCCCUUCUUCUCCCCCCUCUUCCUUCCUCCCCUCCCCCUUUCCUUUCUGUUGUUGAAUUUCCCCCCUGUUCCUGCGGUUUCCCUUUUCCCUUCCCCUCCUAACCUUGCUUCUCCACCGCUCCGGUGAGCCUCUUCGUGGCCCGCUUUUGUGCAGCUGGCGGCGAAUGGCUGGUUGGGGUAAAGAGUGGAAUCUUCAACUCUGAUGACAAAAUUGAGCCAUAGGAACUCAGAAAUCAGAAUCCCGAUUGGAUUUUACAGCAUCAAUCCCCCAAGAAUUCAAGAGUGAACUUUUGGAGCAACCUUCUGGGUCCAUUCUAACAAAAACCAAAAUAAUGACUCAUUAAAGGAAUGAUGCUGCAUUUGGAUGGGAACCUGGUGGGACCAAUGCAAGGAAUGAUCUCAAUUUUGAGUCUACUUCCUCAGAGACUUAGGUAAUGUAGGGGAGAAUAGAUGUUGAUCAUAUUAGAGUACAUGAAGAUAAAUUUGUUCUUGCUAUAUCUUUGAAAUAAAUGACCUUUUGUAAAUAAAAA